Long non-coding RNA from Coturnix japonica (Japanese quail), 1587 nucleotides. The record is from Ensembl. Lineage: Eukaryota; Metazoa; Chordata; Aves; Galliformes; Phasianidae.
AUGGAUUAUUUCCCACAGCCACUUUCCAUUUGCUUGCAGCAGGGCACAAAGUUUACAGGGACCAUGCAUCGCUGUGCUCAGGGCAAUGGGCGCAGAGGGCCCAUGGCUUCUAUCACCCAAAUGCAACAGAGGAGAGCUGCUGCUUUCCUGCCCUGCUCCUGGGUGCCAGCCCGCACUGGCUUAGCGUGGGGCUGCUUUCUCCCUCCUGGUUCUACACCCCAUGCAUCGUUUUCCAAAAGCAGAAAGGAAAAAGCCGCACCAAACCAUCCGCAAAGCAUCAGCAAAGAGGAGGGCCCAGCACAUGCCCCACGCACCGCACUGCUGACCCUGCUCAGCUACUCACGCUACAACACAACAACCGCAGCCUUCCCCUUCCUUUAUACCGCAGAGAGACCGUCAGCGCUCAGAACCGACCGUCCGACGGGCAGCGGGAGCCCCAGCUCCGAAAAGCGACAGCAAACAAAAAGCAGAGCAGGGGAAGGCCCCGGGGCGCUGGGACAGGCAGGCCGGGCCCCGCUCCGCUCCAUUCAUUUGGCCGAGCGAGGCAUCGCCGGGGCCGGCCGCCUUCCCCCCGGCCGGAUACGCGCUCACAAAGGUACCGCACGCUGCGCGGGCCGGCGGGGGCUCCAUUUCUCGCCUCGCUCGGAGCUUUUGGGUAAUAAUUAUUCACCGGCCCCGCCGCCACGAGCGGAGCCCGAUCGGCGCAGCUUUGUACGAGCCGCCGCCACGGCUCCAUCGCCGCCCGGCCCGGCUGCGGUGCCCCGCGCUGCCCCUGCCCGGCCGCAGCAUCCCGGGCACGGCCGCCUCCUUCCCUUCCAAAUCAACCGAAAUAAAAUAAUAGAGCGUUGGCGCGUGGCAGAUUUAUUCAGCGAGCGGCUUGAUUUAUUGAGCAGACUUGACACACAUCAAACCCUACUACGGGCUUACAUAAUUGUUAUCCGCUCGCGGCUCCGCUCCUUUUGUCAGACGCGUUCGCGAGAAGCGAUGCGACAACGGCCGCUGCCGCAGCCCGGCCCGGCUGCUCCCCACCUGCGGCGGAGCCUUUGUGCUCCUCGGCCCUUCCCGGCCGCCCCGCAGCCCCACGCGCGGCUCCGAGGCCGGGCCGCUCCGGGGCCGGGAGACGGUGACCGCCGCCCGCGGGGCCGGAGCGCGGCGCAGACAAUGCGGCGGCCCCGUCCUCGGGCAGCGCCUCCGGGCCGCUCCCGGUGCCCCGCUCGGCUCCGGGCCUACGGCGGCGGGACCCGCCCGGUGCCACCCACGAGGGGGACCGCGGCCGCCGGCGUCCCGCGUGCCCCGCACCCCCCGGCCCCGGGCCGCGCGCAGCCCCCUCCUCCUCGUUCUCCUCGUUCUCCUCCUCCUCCUCCCCCCCCGCCGCCCCCUCCUCCGCGCCCCCGCCCGCCUCGCGCCCCCCUUCGGCCGCUCCCGCCGCCGGGACUCACCUCGACGCCGGACCCGCACGGGAGGCGGCCGCCAGGGGCCGGGGGUCCCCCCGCCCGCCCGGCGGCGUCGGUGACGGCGUUGGCUCAAUGCGCGCCGAGCGCUUGCUCCAUGCGCCCCGGGCCCCGGCGCGCGCAGGUUGACCGCCCG